RNAcentral lists this long non-coding RNA (1886 nucleotides) under Nicotiana tabacum (common tobacco). Its description in RNAcentral is "long non-coding RNA (NTAB_LNC003040)". The record is from RNAcentral. Lineage: Eukaryota; Viridiplantae; Streptophyta; Magnoliopsida; Solanales; Solanaceae.
GAAAAUCAGACCAAGCUUUUGUAUAUAAGAAAUGCAAAGCUACCACACCAGGAAGAUACUAAGAAGAGAUCUAAAUUCCUUCAAUUUGCUGUUUAGGAAUGACGAGUAACAAGUGAUGAAAACACCAGAGUGUUUCCUUUAUCUGCAUUUACACCUGCACCUCCUACAUCACUCUCCACUUUUUCACCAUUUUUUCCUUGGUUUUUUAAUCAGGUAAAAGUUCUUAGCGCAAUAGAUUCAAUUUUCACUAUUCACUUUUCCAUGGAUUUUCACUAUCUACCUUCCCCUUUCCGGAGGCGGAGGUAUGCAUUCAGGUGAACUCAAUAGCGGUAAUACCUUGUAUAUGUAUUACAAAUCUACUAAAUAUUCAUAAAUUAUUUAUUGUAUAUUUAAUUGAGGUCGAUGCAAGAAUUCAUAAACUUUAAAUUCUGGAUUCCCAUUUGUCAUUUCACCUUGUCUAUGUAAUGGAAAAGAAAAUAAUAAACAAAAAAAAAGAGAGGAUCGGAAAAAGAGGCUUCAUUAUGAUAAAGACAUGAAAGUACAAUGGAUUCAAAGGAGGUGCAGGUUCAAGUGCAGGUGAAUGACAUUUUGGAAAUCCUGAGACUAUUGAUGCUCUUAAUUAUAUAUAUUUAAGCCUUCUAAUUAAAGAAGAGUAAUCUUCAGAGUAUGAUGGAUUGUUUAGUUUCAGGCACAGCAGCCAAAAAUUGGAAUUUAAUGGUAGCUCAUUGGAGAUAAAGCAAAGGUAAGGAAUUCCUUAUUCUUGAAUAAAAUAACCUACGCAUAUUAUUUGUAAAUUUCAUCAAGAUCUAUGUAGUAAGUGUAGUAAACAGGUCUAGGAUAUACUAUUUUUUUUUUUUUUUUGAAGAUUUUUGCAGAUUCAGACUAAAAGUCUUUUAGGGCUUUAGAAUACGUCUAAACCCUAACCUCCUUUUAGCCUUUAUUCGUGAACGCAUAUUUUUCACAAAAAUUUGUGACAUGAUGAAAAUGAUCUAUAAAUUGAUUGUAUCUUCAAGUCUAAUUCGAUCUAUUAGCAAUAGACUGUUUGUUUCCAUUUUGUUCUUGAGGUAUAUCUACUUGUUUCUACCAAAAAAAAGUAAAACAAAAACAAAAUUAUAUUUGCUAGCUCUAAAUUCAGCCACCAACAAUUUUAUCUUUUGGAUUGAUUUACCUUUAAUUUUCCCUUCUCAUUCUUCAUAUAUAUUUUAACGCUGCUUCAUUAGCAUUACGAUAUUAUGAGUGAUAUAUAAAAUAACUUUAUUUAAUCUAACUGUAAUUAGUGAAGGGGUGUAUCCACCAAAGAUGGCAGCAAGAAAGACGGGAACACAAAUGAGGUAAUUUAUAUUUUCUUUUCACCAUCAAAAUAAAUUAAAAUGAAAUUCUGAGUUUGAUGGAGAUUUUCUUAUUUAUAUAAUAUAUCCUGGUUAAAAUAUUUUGGUGGUAACUAACGAAUGACACAGUUUAAUCAUUAAAGUUUAAAGAUGAGACGAAUUAAUUAGUCGUUCUUUUACUCUUUCUUGAAGUACAAUGGUUAUAAGUCUGAAUGCCAGCCAUAGUGAAGAUUCAUAAUAUAAAGUCAAUUCCAAUUAGCUUGGGAUUGACUAAUUGUUAUUGAACUGUAUUUGUAAAAUAAUUCUGGAGAAGAUAAAAUAACAUAUAAAUAGAAAUGUAAACGAAACAGAAUUUAAUCCGAGCCCACUGAAUUCACAGUGUUUCCUUAAGGAAUUUAAUCUCCUCAUAGUAACCCAGGUUGUGGAUUAUUUCCUCCCAGGAUAGAACGAAUUACACACUGGUGUAGCGAUACUUCAAACACCAGUGUUUCAGCGAAUACAAAGAUCGGUAGCAAAUCACACUUACUGGUGCUUUGUUUGUAGUUAAAACAAUGUANN